UAGGUGUCAGCAUCUUUCAUUCUACUUGCAGACACAGUAACUUAGACUAAGAGAUCUGGCCAAGAUCAUCAAGCAAGUCACAGUGUGAGGAAACCCACAGGAAAAUGAGAACACCACUGAGAAAGUGACUACAAAAUGCUGCUACAAGGCUGUGGAAAACAAUUCCUGUUGGCUACAUCAAAGUGUAGUGGCAGAUUUCCCUUUGGACGUCAGAGCCUGUUUCAAACGUCUCUUUAAAUCCUGCAUGUUUGGAGACUUGGGCCGGACGAGGUGGAGGCCUCGGCGUUUCUCACCAUUGCAGCUCCCGAUCAUCCUGCUGACCUCCUGGCAGAGCUGCUGGAAGGCUUCAUGCACUCCCUCACAGUUCUCCCGAGCUGACACUUCAUAGUAACUACCUCCCAGUUCACUGGCCAGUUGGAGUCCCUCUUUGGAGGCCACCUGCCUGGCUCGCAGAAGGUCUCCUUUGUUUGCCAUCAGCAGCAGGGGGAUGUUGGCAUUGGGGUGAAUCUUGCGGAUGUGCUGGUGCAGGGGCCGGAUGACUCGGUAGCUCUCGUAGUCUGUGAUGGAGUAAACAAAAACGAAGCCAUCUGCCCAGUAGAUCGAACGGUUUAUCUGCUCUUGGCAGCAUAUGCUGUCAGUGUCAUCCUGCCACCAAAACCAAGAGGUGUGAGAUUAGAAAACUGAGAAUAGGGAGCAGACAGAGCACACAGUCAUACAGCACUAUUAGCUCCUCGGAGCUUUGUUUUAAAGUGAAGCCGUUUCCCAGUGUACAGACAGAAAGCUCUCUGACUGCCAGGGAAUGCACCAGGGACAGGAGAAACUUCCACUGUGUCAGUAACACGUUACAGGUAAGCAGUACUGUGGAAGUGAAGUGGGGAGGGGUCAGAGCGAAUUGGUUGAAAAUAGGAGAGCAGCCAAAGUACAGAUCUUGAAAAGCUUGUUCUGUGUUCUGUCAUACUAAACCAGUGUGACAGGAGCCUGUGCUUUUCUUGGGGAUAGAAUUAUGGUGGGCAUGGUAAGAGCAUUAUAAAAUUCAGCAGGUUAGUCACACUACUGCAAGUGCAUGGGUUUCCCCCAAAGUAUCUUUUUAGAGCUUUCUCCAAUUCUCUAUUCAAUGUCUCCAUGGAUGGGGGUUCUCACUAUGAUGAAGCCUGACAGGUUUUUCUACUGUGUGACAGUUUUCUACUGUCUCCACAUAGUCAAGGGUAAAGUUACUUUGAAAAAGCAAUUUGCUACAAACAACUAAUUACUGGAACUGAAAUGAGGUGAAAUUUCACUGCUCAUUUGUAGAGCAGCAAUGUGUUUGUAAUAUUGUUUUGCUGUUCACACCAUCACCACUCCUACUCAGCCAACCAUAACAAGCACCAGCCUUGGGAAUAUAAAACUGAAUACAACACGGUGGGGCUUGAAAAAGGAUCAGCUUGCUUUUCAAGUUGAAGCUAUUUUCAGCUAAUCCUCUACUCUUUGUUAUCCAUGCUGGUGUGUAACCCAACCAGAUAGGGAGAUCCCUGCUGCAGUUAUUGUGGGUAUGUUUGGUUUGUAAGAACUGACGUUCCUGUCUCUAUUACAGCCUUUCUGACACUUUGUAAUUUCUUUCCUCUCCAACGAGGCACUAAGUGCAUUCAGUAUUCAGCUCUUGAUGAAGUUGACAGGAAUUAGAGGCUUUAGGGGGAGUUCAACAUCAUGAAUAUGGAGCCCAAACUUUUAUUACUAUUGCUAAAUUCUAUUCAAGAAAAAAAUCAACUUCAAUAAGACUACUAGAGCAUAUGUUCCAUUAUUUAUUUAUGUAUAGAGUGUAUACCUACCAUUCACAUUCAUGUUAAUAGAAUUUGCAUGUGCUCAGCAAUCUCCCCAAACUGAUUACAUCUACUUAGACACCUAAAUCUGAAUUACAAAGCCUAACUUCAGGAAAAGAAUGAAUAAAACCAAUCAGUUCUGUUAUGGUAGAUCAGACAGUAAAAAACAAAGGACUACCAACAAGGCCCUUCUGUGAGAGGAAGGCAGCAGAAUUUCUGAAGGCUCAGAGUAUAAAACUACACUUAAAAUUUGACAGGGAGUUUUGAAAACUAACUGUCCUUUGUACAUAUUCAAUAUUGCCAAUGGAGACACUGUCUCUUCAUACCUAGUAGUUCUUUGCCCAUGCCAGUUCACAGUAAUGCUAAAUCCUGUUAACAGUAACAUUGCUUAACAGAUGUUCCUAUUACACCUCUCUCUGCCCAAACCCAAAACCCCAGCAGAGUUAUACAUGGAAUAAAGAAGGAUCCUUCCUAGCAGCUUUGUUUAAAAGGUUAAUGAGUAUGAACUCCGAGCCAGGACGGGGCAGACUGUGGGAAGAAGGGCAAUUUGCACUGUUGGUGUCUGGGUUGUAGCCAGUGUGUAGAUAAUUAGCCACCCCUCAUGUCCUGCUAGCCUCAUUUCACCACAAAACUCCUUUUUAUGGGGAAAAAGAACUAAUUGCUCUGGCAAGCUUGGAAAAUGUUUUGGAGGAAGAUGAACAUUCAGAGACCCCUAAUGAGGAGAAAUUCUCAGUUACUUCAGCUAGGCCCACCCAGCAGUGAGAAGGAUGGAUAAUCCCUAACGGAAUGCUUUAUUCAGGAAAAUCAAAGGCUAAUGGGCUACUUUUAAAAUGGAAAUCUCUGCUCCAGAGUGAAUUUUGAAACACUGGUUCAUUGGCAUGUAUAGACCAAGCAGCAAUCAAUCACUUAACAAAACCAGUUAUCUGUUUGCUUCUGUUUCUCUCCUAAACAUUAACAUUUCCGGUGUGGCCAGAAUCCUGAGUGAUUUCACAUGACUUCCUCUCAAAGCACUGCACUCAGCCUGCAGAGUGCAAGCAACUCUCCUCCUUAAGGAUUUUAACAAGAAAAUCCAACUUAUUCUCAGUCUUAAUAAGUCCUGUUCAGGAACAGUCCCUUCAAAUUAUUUCAGAUACAUCAUUUGAUGCAAGCAGAGGCACAGGCAACGACAUGUGUCUGUGGGAACUGCUGAAACAGUGCAGACCUUUCACUGGGACAGAGAAAGUGAAACUCUUUCCUAACUAAAUUAAAAUCAUAUCUGACUAAGAAACCUCAGCUGUUGGUAUAACUAAACUUUGUGGAGCUCUGGCUGCAGUCACAGAACUAUAGGACACAGGUUUGAUUAAAACAGGAACAUCAGAAAAUAAUCAUGUAUCUGUAUGUAUCAAACUAUUUCACUCCCUCCUUUCUCCAUGAGACAGAAUGGAUAAGGGAUUCCCUUUGUUAAGUGUUUAGCAGGCAGUCCCAAUUGUGCUUAAUCACCCACCACACACAGCUUCUCUUUGCAGGUCCUCUCCCAGCAAGCUGGCAUAGGGCCUUUGUACUGUUAAGUCCCACUUGAAUAUUUGGAGGACUUCCAUAGCAGCUUUUAUUUGCUUUUUAGUGUCCAGAGUAAAUGGGGGGUCCUCUCCUCUGCUCUGUGCAUCCCCAGCAGCAGCAGCGUGUACAAAUUUGUCAAAGCUUUCCACUUAAUUUUAUUUCCAGUCAUCAAAGAAAGUGGAAACAGAGGCUGUGGGAGCUUUGCUGAUCCUGUUUUGUAAACUCAGGGUGGAGCAGCUCUACAGCACAGAAAUGAACUCAUGCACACAUGGGUCCCAGCAAAGCAAGGUACAUAAAGCUUUCCAGGGUUAGCCUGAAAGGGGAUGAGAGUAAGUGGUGUUCCCAUCCAGACAUAUUCUUGGCCAAGUCUGAGCUUAGACUGAGGUUAAGGCAAAACCAAGACGUUUAAGUUUGAUGGUGACAAGAAGAAACCUAAUUUCAUCAUGAAAUAGUCUAUAGGAAUUAUUACUUUCAUGAUGUCUCCACUCUUCAUGUAAAACCAAUUUUAAUCCCAUUUCCUGCUGCUUUGGCAUUAUUUUCAUCCUCUUGUUCUGCAUGUGAAAUAGAUCUUCAAAAGAAGUCAUCUUAAUCCUAGAUCCUGCUUGGAAAAAAUAUUUCUAGGAACAGGUUUCUAUUUAAAUAUUAAAUCUAGAAUAUGUAAAAUACUGUUAGAAAGAGAAAUGUAGACAAAUGCCAACACCUUAAAAAUAAUGAAUAAGGAAAUAAUAAUAAUAAGAAAAAAAACAACUAAGAAAACCUCUGCAAAGCACUUUCGUUGGAAAUGACAACUGCUGUGAGGCCUGUCCCCUUGGAAAGAAACACCUUUCUAGAGGAGAGAUUCUGAGCUGGUAGAAAGGUCAUGGCUGAGCCAGCUCUAGGCAGGUGAGUUUUCUUCCAUGCAGGGACAGAAACCACAUGGCAAGAGACAAAACAAUCAGGAAGUUGGCAGAAGCAAGACAGAUUAUGAUUUUACUGCUGUUUAGGCUUCAGAUUAAGUAAUGUGUUUGAAAUAGAUUUGGUUUAAUUUUGACUUAAACCUCUUCAAGGGCUUGUUUUGGUGGGGCUUAAGGUAACCCUAUUUGUCUUCAUUUGGCUUUGAGCCCAGCUAUUUUUCUGCUGAUAAGUGGAAUUACUUACAGACGGAAGCGCUGGCAACAAACAAGAGACAACAACUGUGUUGUAAAGUACCAAUGUACUGAGCAGCUGUUUUACCUCCAAUGAAACAAAGGGAGUAUCCUGCACCUGUAGAGAGAUCUGUUCCCCAUCUAUGGUGAACUUUCUUGAGUACAAAGCACCUGGCAGAAAAAUAAGAUCAUUAGAGUCAGGGACUGUAACAAAGAAAACAAGAGUACAGAAAAGCAGAAUGGAACUGUUAAAAUCUAGAUUUUUUAGGUUUAUGGUAUGUAGCUGCUUAUAGAAAAGUGAAUGGCCCCAGAGUGGUUGGGUGGCUGUGUGCUGAAGUCAAGUGGGUUUGUAUUUGCUACGUGGUCAGAUGUUUUGAAAGCCCACCUAGGGGGGUAUGUGUGUAAGGGGGCACUUUGUAUGGAAUCAAAUAGUCAAAGUGGGCACAUAAAUCCCACUCAGGUUUUCUAUCUAUGCUGUUAACUUUUUUAAAAGUGGACUACGUGUAUUUUCAGACUCAAACCAAGACAUCUAGGUGCUGUCUGUGAGAGUGAGCUGUUUCCUAUUGCAUUUUGGGGUAAGUUUUUUGAAAAGGAAAGUAUUCUAGUUUUGGACACAGACUAAAUGACUAUAUGCAUAACCCAGGUGCUCUUUGGGAUUUGUGUGACCUUAGCAGUCAGAGUUUGGUUGGAAUUAGACUCUCAACUGAUUUCUGCUUAAUCAAAAUGACACAUAUUCAGGGCCAAGUGCUACUUCAAACCAUCUAGGACUAAUCCAGCUCUAAUAAAACCAUCACUGUUCUGAGGCUUGAACUUUAUUUUGUUA
This is a long non-coding RNA of Colius striatus (speckled mousebird), 5279 nucleotides long. RefSeq lists it as uncharacterized. NCBI's taxonomy places the organism in Eukaryota, Metazoa, Chordata, Aves, Coliiformes, Coliidae. The record is from RefSeq and is a predicted model, not a curated record. The transcript has 3 exons.